UUUAGAGUGAAAGCCCUCCCCAGCCAAUCAUGUGCAAGCUCAGGCACUCGGUUAAUGAUGCAGCAGUACAGGGAAGACUAUCACAUGUGAGCUGGAAGGCUGCCAACAUGGAGACACGCAGAGAGCAAGCUAAUCAUUUGAGCUCUGCAGGACUAGACAGCAGCAAAGGAUUUCCCUCUAAAAUGUUCCUAAGGAUGUGGGCAAUGUUCCCUGAACCUCAGGCAAUGAAUUAAUCCCUUCUCUACCACUGUACGGCCCUACACCAUCUCGACAACCAUCAGGAAGAAGCAGAAAAAAGGUCUGCACCUGUGAAUUCAGCACGGCGGCUGCGGGCUGGUUCAGAAGCGACGGCUGAAUUUAGGAUCUGGGCGGCGCUUACGUGCCUCUUGAACCGGUUUACACCAUUUGCAUCAUCAGCGCAGCCUCUCAUUGCCUCGGCAACUACAGGAGCGAGCAGAGCAGUACAGAACAGAACAUUUCCCUCCCCCGGGGAGCUCGGCGUUCUUUUCCCCCCUCCCCCCCCCCGCACUUAGGCAGGCUCGAGCUGUUCUCCUUCCGACCGGCUCCACCACGUGGCUGCCCAUCUUAACUGGGCCGCGCACUCGUGACAGCUUGCCAAACGAAAACAACACAAAAUGACCCCGUCGCUCUGCGGGCAGCAACGCUGCUCCGACGCAUUCCAAGCCCGGGAUCAGGAAGCGACCCACUAAACGUGGGCAGAAACGUUAGCCUUUGCUCGCCAUGGGCAAGGAGCCAAAACGUACUCCUUGCAGGUUUUUCUUCUCUCUCCGACAAGCAAAACAAAGACGCCCAGAUGUUUCAGAUCUUUAUGGGGAGAUUCAAAAGUGAGCAGACCCCGCGCUAGUCAUUCGAUUGGUGAUCUUACCUCCCUAGCGGCGUUCAUUUAUAUGCCGUCUUUAACUAUCUAUCUCCUCUCUUCCUCUGACGCACUUCAGUGUCUCGGACUGCCAUUCCUAUACAGUUCUUCCGCUGUAUUGAGUUUCAAAUUACAGAUAUUGUUUUCCAGCGUGAUAGUCAAACUCCUCCUUUGUAAUUCUCUGGCUCUAGCGUAUUGCAUAAACAGCGCCGGGGGUCACUCCUUCAAAUGAGGCACAGAAAUAUUUUUGUUUACUUCCCUCUGCCAUGUCUUUUAACUGGUUCCUUUCUCAACCCCAGAACGCCAACUGCGUCAGAUGGUGGAAAUCGAGAACACCUUUCUGUAUACCGCCUACUAGCUGCGUUCGUUCCCCCACCCGUUUUUUUUAAGCACGUCCAGGCGUGGAGGCGAAGCAGGACAUCUCCCCAGCAAAAGUACAGCCCGACCCUUAAAAAGCACAAGAACUUCCUGCCUCCCACCGUUCUCCUCGUUUAUUUCGAGAACGAACAAGUCCUGGACUGAUUGCAGGCAUAAGAAAGAAGUAUCGCUUUUCCCCAGGUUGACACACGCUCUUGAGCUUCUCACCCAGUUCAU
This is a non-coding RNA of Python bivittatus (Burmese python), 1471 nucleotides long. The record is from RefSeq and is a predicted model, not a curated record. NCBI's taxonomy places the organism in Eukaryota, Metazoa, Chordata, Lepidosauria, Squamata, Pythonidae.